This 445-nucleotide ribosomal RNA is filed under the name uncultured Rhodocyclaceae bacterium. RNAcentral's name for it is "bacterial SSU rRNA". It matches the Rfam family "Bacterial small subunit ribosomal RNA", at positions 936 to 1382 of the family's 1533-position model. The record is from RNAcentral. Lineage: Bacteria; Pseudomonadati; Pseudomonadota; Betaproteobacteria; Rhodocyclales; Rhodocyclaceae.
AUGAUGUGGAUUAAUUCGAUGCAACGCGAAAACCUUACCUACCUUGACAUGUCCGGAAUCCCGAAGAGAUUUGGGAGUGCUCGCAAGAGAACCGGAACACAGGUGCUGCAUGGCUGUCGUCAGCUCGUGUCGUGAGAUGUUGGGUUAAGUCCCGCAACGAGCGCAACCCUUGUCAUUAGUUGCCAUCAUUUGGUUGGGCACUCUAAUGAGACUGCCGGUGACAAACCGGAGGAAGGUGGGGAUGACGUCAAGUCCUCAUGGCCCUUAUGGGUAGGGCUUCACACGUCAUACAAUGGUCGGUACAGAGGGUUGCCAACCCGCGAGGGGGAGCUAAUCCCACAAAGCCGAUCGUAGUCCGGAUCGCAAUCUGCAACUCGACUGCGUGAAGUCGGAAUCGCUAGUAAUCGUGGAUCAGCAUGUCACGGUGAAUACGUUCCCGGGUCUU